GUAGGAGAGCGUUCUAAGGGCGUUGAAGGCAGAUCGUGAGGACUGCUGGAGCGCUUAGAAGUGAGAAUGCCGGUAUGAGUAGCGAAAGACAGGUGAGAAUCCUGUCCACCGAAUGACUAAGGUUUCCUGGGGAAGGCUCGUCCGCCCAGGGUUAGUCGGGACCUAAGCCGAGGCCGACAGGCGUAGGCGAUGGACAACAGGUUGAUAUUCCUGUACCCGUUGUUUUUGUUUGAGCAAUGGAGGGACGCAGGAGGCUAAGAAGUGCAGACUGAUGGAUAUGUCUGUUCAAGCAGUAAGUCUUGGUAGGAGUCAAAUGCUUCUACCUAUACGGACAAGCUGUGAUGAGGAGGGAAAUAAUAGUACCGAAGCUUCUGAUGUCACACUGCCAAGAAAAGCUUCUAGUGAGAAAACAACGGCCCGUACCGCAAACCGACACAGGUAGUCGAGGAGAGAAUCCUAAGGUGAGCGAGAGAACUCUCGUUAAGGAACUCGGCAAAAUGACCCCGUAACUUCGGGAGAAGGGGUGCUGCUCUAACGAGCAGCCGCAGUGAAUAGGCCCAAGCGACUGUUUAUCAAAAACACAGGUCUCUGCAAAAUCGAAAGAUGACGUAUAGGGGCUGACGCCUGCCCGGUGCUGGAAGGUUAAGAGGAGU
RNAcentral lists this ribosomal RNA (653 nucleotides) under Listeria monocytogenes. RNAcentral describes it as "partial 23S ribosomal RNA". It matches the Rfam family "Bacterial large subunit ribosomal RNA", at positions 1228 to 1887 of the family's 2925-position model. Lineage: Bacteria; Bacillati; Bacillota; Bacilli; Caryophanales; Listeriaceae. The record is from RNAcentral.